UACAGAGGUGGCAAGCGUUGUUCGGAAUUACUGGGCGUAAAGGGCGCGUAGGCGGUCUUGUAAGUCUUGUGUGAAAUCCCUCGGCUUAACUGAGGAACUGCACGGGAUACUGCGAGACUUGAGUUCGGGAGAGGGAAGCGGAAUUCCGGGUGUAGCGGUGAAAUGCGUAGAUAUCGUAAGGAAGACCAGUGGCGAAGGCGGGUCUCUGGACAGUUCCUGACGCUGAGGCACGAAGGCCAGGGGAGCAAACGGG
Molecule: ribosomal RNA, 253 nt
Filed under: uncultured bacterium
Lineage: Bacteria
Description: partial 16S ribosomal RNA
Rfam family: Bacterial small subunit ribosomal RNA
Source: RNAcentral